Molecule: ribosomal RNA, 484 nt
Filed under: uncultured bacterium
Lineage: Bacteria
Description: partial 16S ribosomal RNA
Rfam family: Bacterial small subunit ribosomal RNA
Source: RNAcentral
AUUGAACGCUGGCGGCAGGCCUAACACAUGCAAGUCGAGCGGAUGAAGGGAGCUUGCUCCUGGAUUCAGCGGCGGACGGGUGAGUAAUGCCUAGGAAUCUGCCUGGUAGUGGGGGAUAACGUCCGGAAACGGGCGCUAAUACCGCAUACGUCCUGAGGGAGAAAGUGGGGGAUCUUCGGACCUCACGCUAUCAGAUGAGCCUAGGUCGGAUUAGCUAGUUGGUGGGGUAAAGGCCUACCAAGGCGACGAUCCGUAACUGGUCUGAGAGGAUGAUCAGCCAGACUGGAAGUGAUAGACGGUCCAGACUCCGACGGGAGGCAGAAGUGGGGAAUAUUGGAGGAUGGGGGGAAGGAUGAUCCAGCGAUAGCGCGGGGGUGAAGAAGGUCUUCGAAUUGGAAAGCGCUUGUAUUGGGAAAGAAAAGCAGCAGGUUAAUACCUCGGUGUUAUGACGGUACCCAAAGAAUAAGCACCGGCUAACUUCGUG